AAGAACUCCGGCUGGUGGCAUACCAGCGUUAGCCCGAGAACCGGAGGCUCGUUAGUCUUAGAUACUCCGUCCUCAAUCAAAAAAUGGAAAGAGGAGUUUUUCUAUGUGUCCGGAGAAUGGCAAUUCCAUCCUUCCAAGGUGGACAGAGAGGAUGUGGUCCCUAGGCUCUACCAUUCAUUGUGUAAGUGAUUAUAAGUUUGCUUCUUUGAUGAGGUCUGCACUGAUGCGAUAUUGACCUUUGUCCUUUUUGGCAGAUUAUAAAAAGGAGAAUUUGACAAGAGAUAUACAAAGGAGAGUUGAGGUGAUAAGGAAGUUGCCAAAGAGGCAGAGAUCUUGUAAGUUUGUGAUCUCGAAUUCAAACCUCUUUCAGGCUGGUUUAGUGCAAGUGUCGGCGUCUAGUCCAUCUACUCCGAGAGUGUCUACCUCAGUCUCGUCCAGCUCAGGUGAAGGUUAAGCAUUUGUUAUUAUUAUUAAUACAUAUGAUAAUGAUAUUAUAUCUUUCUUCCCAUUUCAGCACAUCACUUCGUGAUGCUAGGCUACAAAGCAGCUAAGGCAGCAGCUGCGGCUAAGGGGAAGAGGAGGGAGGUUCCAGCUGUGGAGAGUCAUUCGGAGGGGAUUGAGGAGGACUCCUAGCCACUUAAGAGGAAUCGAUCUACAACGCCUGGCGACCCUCUUCCUCAGGCAACCUUUACUCCAGUUGCUUCUCUUCCUAGGUCGGUCGAGGAGGUUACUUCGUCGCCGAUGGUCCCAACUGCCGUGCCCAUGAUUUUGGUGUUUGAAAUACCGACAGUUACAUUGUCAUCCUCAACUCCUCCGAGUGCCCCAACUGCUGCCUCUACCAGCUAAGUCAGGUCGCAAGAUCGGUGUCCGGACUUACAACGACCGAGCUUGGAGAGUUUGCUGGGCCAUCGGCCGGAGAUAUUUUUGGAUUUUCUAUGUGCUCCUUCUCCGUCGAGAAAGACUAUCGCGGCCUUCUCCUCACCUUUGCAUGAAUUCACCAACCUUCUCACAAGGAGUUGGGGGAAAAAGAAAUAGAACUUCUUGGGGGAGAUGCCUGUUGAGGAGGCCAUUGUCACUGCUCAACUUCAUGGUCAUCGCUCCAUCUUGUACAUGAUGUCGGUGGUGGACAAGGUACUUAUCCUCAGUAAUGCUUGUGUUUCAGAUAUUUUGUUACUUGUCAUGUUUUAACUGUAUUUGCUUUUUGACCUUCUCAGGUAAAAGCCGAACUCGACAAGCUACUUGAGGCCAAGGAUUAGGCCGUAAAAUUAUAUGAGAGUAUGAAUGAGGAAAAAGAGAAUUUUGCUACCAAGGAGGAAGAUUACAGAGGUCAACUUCAAAAAUGUGUAAGGAGCUGAAUGCUAUGCUAACCUCUGAGCGGAAUCUCCCGGACGAGGUUGGUGCUUUAAAGAUUUGGGGUGAGAAGGCCAACAAGAGGGCCGAGAUAGAGAAGAAGAGAGCUGAAGAGGAGAGGGCGCGGGCGGAAAAUCUGAGGGCCCAGGUUUUCGAGGAGCGUUCUCAUACGUUAAAGGCUAUUAAGAAGAUGGAGGAAGCUCGUGCGAGGUCAAACGACGUAAUGAAGAGAGCUGAAGAGGCUGAGGCCAAAGGUAUCAGAGCUAUGGAGGCUUGAAGAGAAUCUCCAAAGUUUGACGCCUUAUCCCAAGAUGCGUAUGUAGUGGCCUUGGAAGAGUUAAUAAAGUACGUCCGAAUGGAGAGACCGGAGUUCGAUGCUACCUUUUUGGACGAAGCACUAGGCGAGUAGAGGGAGGAGCUACGCAAAUUGUUCGAAGCUGCUGGAGUUCAGAUAUCUCCUGCUGACCAGGAUGUUGAGGGUAGCGCCCCAUUCCCCCAAGACCCUUAGGAGGUUGUUGUUUUGGAGAUAUUUGGUAUUUUGUAAUAUGUUUUGACUCAUUUGUGAAGUUCAUUUCGAUGUUUCAUGACAUUUUAUUUGGAAUGGAUGACUGUUUAUGUUUUAGCAUGAUUUCCUUAACAACGAUCUCGUUUAUAUGCGACAAUACCUCACAAACUUAGCUAAAUUUGCCUUCCUAAUGGGAUAUUUUGACUAAGUGUCAUAGCACAUACGACCUUAGCUAGAAUUGCAUAUAGGGAAGGAUCUUUGAGAAUUUCUAAGGAAGAGUUCUCACUAGGUAUCGUAGCGUGUAUGACCUUAGCUUGGCCUGCGUAAUUUCGUAGAAUUCCUUAGGAAGAAUUUUUUUAGAAUAAUCUUAGAUCAGCUUGCGUAUGGAGCAGGGUUUUGUAAGAUUCCUUAGGAGAAAUGUCCACUAAGGGUAAUACAUACAGCCUUAGAUUGGCCUGCGUAUGAAGCAGGGCUUUGUAAGAUCUCUUAGGAGGAAUUUUCACUAAGGCUAAUACGUACAUCCUUAGAU
This 2384-nucleotide long non-coding RNA is filed under the name Olea europaea subsp. europaea. Lineage: Eukaryota; Viridiplantae; Streptophyta; Magnoliopsida; Lamiales; Oleaceae. The record is from RNAcentral.